CAAUAGCGUAUAUUGAAGUUGCUGCAGUUAAAAAGCUCGUAGUUGCAUUUCCGAGGCAAGGGAUUAGUCCGACCUUUGGUGGGUAUUUAAUCCUCUUGCCUCGUCCUUGAGUGGUGCUUCUUGGUAUUAAGUUAUCGAGGAGAUAGCCGCUCAUCGUUUACUGUGAGAAAAUUAGAGUGUUCAAAGCAGGCUUAUGCCGUUGAAUAUAUUAGCAUGGAAUAAUAAGAUAGGACCUCGGUACUAUUUUGUUGGUUUGAGAACCAAGGUAAUGAUGAAUAGGGACAGUUGGGGGUAUUCGUAUUCAGUUGUCAGAGGUGAAAUUCUUAGAUUUACGGAAGACGAACUACUGCGAAAGCAUUUACCAAGGAUGUUUUCAUUAA
RNAcentral lists this ribosomal RNA (380 nucleotides) under uncultured eukaryote. RNAcentral describes it as "partial 18S ribosomal RNA". It matches the Rfam family "Eukaryotic small subunit ribosomal RNA", at positions 592 to 976 of the family's 1831-position model. The record is from RNAcentral.